UACGAAGGGGGCUAGCGUUGUUCGGAAUUACUGGGCGUAAAGAGCGUGUAGGUGGAUUAGCAAGUCAGAGGUGAAAGCCCAGGGCCUAACCUUGGAACUGCCUUUGAAACUGCUAGUCUGGAGACUCGGAGGGGGAAGUGGAAUUCCUAAUGUAGGGGUGAAAUCCGUAGAUAUUAGGAGGAACACCUGUGGCGAAGGCGGCUUCCUGGACGAGUACUGACGAUGAGACGCGAAAGCGUGGGGAUCAAACAGG
This 253-nucleotide ribosomal RNA is filed under the name uncultured bacterium. RNAcentral describes it as "partial 16S ribosomal RNA". It matches the Rfam family "Bacterial small subunit ribosomal RNA", at positions 524 to 776 of the family's 1533-position model. The record is from RNAcentral.